Homo sapiens (human) is the source of this 301-nucleotide long non-coding RNA. The record is from Ensembl. NCBI's taxonomy places the organism in Eukaryota, Metazoa, Chordata, Mammalia, Primates, Hominidae.
AAAAAUAACUGGUAGACCGUCUUUUCUACCCCAUAGGUUGAAGGCAGGAGGGAGACCGACCUGCCACAGAAACCUGCAAGGGUGUACUGCCACAUCGUUCUGAAACCCAAGCUGCAAUUGUACAAAUGGCUCAAAAUCCCUUUUGACUAAAGGAUAAAGAUUGAAAGCAAAAGACGUAUUUUGACCAAGUGUGGAGGGAAACCAACUUUGAAUGAAACACGAAUAACAGAUAAGAUAGUGAAGAAAGUGCUUCACUGUGAUUCUCUUAAUAGUACUCAAUAAAAGUAUCUUUUAAGUUUUA